RNAcentral lists this ribosomal RNA (483 nucleotides) under Triticum aestivum (bread wheat). RNAcentral's name for it is "partial small subunit ribosomal RNA". Lineage: Eukaryota; Viridiplantae; Streptophyta; Magnoliopsida; Poales; Poaceae. The record is from RNAcentral.
GCAGAUGGAAAUGAGGAUGCAGAGAAUGCAGAGGAAGGAGAGGAUGCAGAGGCAGAUCAUGAUCAUGAUGUAGAGAAUGCAGAGGAAGGAGAGAAUGAAACUGACUCAGACUUUUAUGAGAGUGACUAUGAUUGUGAAGAUGGAGGUGAUGAUUUGUUUGCUCAGAAUGUGGACAAAUCAUUGAAUGACAACAAUGAAGAAGAGGAAGAGAUAUUUGAGGAGGAAGAUCCACUGGAUGAUGAUGAGCUCAACCUGUCAAAAGAUGAGUUGGAGAAGUUGAAAUAUACAAUCAGAACGUUCAAUGCAGAAAUGGACAUGAGCAACCCAAUCUUCAGGGUUGGGCAAGUAUUUGGAGAAAUGAAAGAGCUAAGGGAAGCAGUCACUGCAUACACAGUCAAAAACAGAGUGAAAAUCUUCAAACCUAGAAACGAGGCAGAGAGAUACAUUAGUGUGUGUGUCAACCAGAUUGCCCUUGGAGGUUGA